AUACGGAGGGUGCGAGCGUUGUUCGGAAUUAUUGGGCGUAAAGAGCAUGUAGGCGGUCUGUUAAGUCUGGUGUGAAAGCCCGGGGCUCAACCCCGGAAGUGCAUUGGAUACUGGCAGACUUGAGUAUGGGAGAGGAAAGCGGAAUUCCGAGUGUAGGAGUGAAAUCCGUAGAUAUUCGGAGGAACACCAGUGGCGAAGGCGGCUUUCUGGACCAAUACUGACGCUGAGACGCGAAAGCGUGGGGAGCAAACAGGAUUAGAAACCCCGGUAGUCC
Molecule: ribosomal RNA, 274 nt
Filed under: uncultured bacterium
Lineage: Bacteria
Description: partial 16S ribosomal RNA
Rfam family: Bacterial small subunit ribosomal RNA
Source: RNAcentral